Molecule: long non-coding RNA, 203 nt
Filed under: Lathyrus oleraceus (garden pea)
Lineage: Eukaryota; Viridiplantae; Streptophyta; Magnoliopsida; Fabales; Fabaceae
Description: Pisum sativum (pea) long non-coding RNA (PSAT_LNC041084)
Source: RNAcentral
AAAGACCUUGAAUUAGAUUCUUAGGUUCGGGAGGUACAUUAUACAAAGGGAAGGUGUUAGCACCCUUUGUAUCCAUGGUUAUCCAUGGGCUCUUAAUUGCUCAAUCAUUUAUGUUUUUCUAGUUUGAAAAAGUGGUUGAGAAAUGUGUAGGAAAUGUUUUGAAAAGGAGAAUUUAACUUUGUAAUGAUUCUUGAAUGAAUGUA